Molecule: non-coding RNA, 216 nt
Filed under: Paraburkholderia sp. BL23I1N1
Lineage: Bacteria; Pseudomonadati; Pseudomonadota; Betaproteobacteria; Burkholderiales; Burkholderiaceae
Source: RNAcentral
CGACUCCCUCCCGGUAAAGGCUAGCCACCAGCCGGAAGCGAGCCUUGCAUGCGAGUGCGGUGACGCACUACUUGAAGCGUAGGCAGCAGGUACCGAAGCCAUGUGAUUGAGCCUCGAGAUAAUCAACUGUUGGUGUCUUCACUUUCCGAACACUGGGGACAGCACUGUGCGAGCCGUAAUGGUGAGGCUCGCCAGACCGACCGGGGUCCGAGAGCA